GCGAAGCGUACAAUCUUAGAUUGACGUUGUCAUUUGUCGCUUGCCAAGGUUAGGGUCGAGGGUUCGAAUCCCUUCGCCCGCUCCA
RNAcentral lists this transfer RNA (85 nucleotides) under Kaistia hirudinis. RNAcentral's name for it is "tRNA-Gly". Lineage: Bacteria; Pseudomonadati; Pseudomonadota; Alphaproteobacteria; Hyphomicrobiales; Kaistiaceae. The record is from RNAcentral.